UACAGAGGUCUCAAGCGUUGUUCGGAUUCAUUGGGCGUAAAGGGUGCGUAGGCGGCGGCGUAAGUCGGGUGUGAAAUCCCAGGGCUCAACCCUGGAACUGCACUCGAUACUGCGUCGCUGGAGGACUGGAGAGGAGACUGGAAUUCACGGUGUAGCAGUGAAAUGCGUAGAUAUCGUGAGGAAGGCCAGUGGCGAAGGCGAGUCUCUGGACAGUUCCUGACGCUGAGGCACGAAGGCCAGGGGAGCAAACGGG
This 253-nucleotide ribosomal RNA is filed under the name uncultured bacterium. RNAcentral's name for it is "partial 16S ribosomal RNA". It matches the Rfam family "Bacterial small subunit ribosomal RNA", at positions 524 to 776 of the family's 1533-position model. The record is from RNAcentral.